CCAUCUUCUGAACUUAUUUAUAGAAGACAAUGCCUGCCCAGUGAAAAUUUUAAACGGCCGCGUUAGCGUGAGCGUGCUAAGGUAGCGUAAUAAAUAGCCUCUUAAUUGGAGGCCAGUGAAUGGCAAGACUAGGAACACCUGUACCUUUUAUAUUAGAAAAACUUUUCAUCUAAGUGAAAAGACUUAGAUAAUAAAGGAAGACGAAAAGACCCCGCGGAACUUUACUUUUUCUUAUACCUUCGCCCAAAAGCAUAAAAGUACAAGAAGUUUGAUUGGGGCAAUCUCGGAACCUAUAAGCUUCCGAUCUUUUAAACAAAUAAUUUAAAAUUUGUUAUAGACAAAAUAGAAGUUACCCCGGGGAUAACAGCGUUAUCCAACUCAAGAGUACACAUCGAAAGUUGGGUUUGCGACCUCGAUGUUGGCUUAAGGACAUCCACAUUAGUGCAACCGCUAUGAAGGGACAGUCUGUUCGACUAUUAUAACCUU
RNAcentral lists this ribosomal RNA (486 nucleotides) under Microcondylaea bonellii. RNAcentral's name for it is "partial large subunit ribosomal RNA". It matches the Rfam family "Bacterial large subunit ribosomal RNA", at positions 1826 to 2597 of the family's 2925-position model. The record is from RNAcentral. Lineage: Eukaryota; Metazoa; Mollusca; Bivalvia; Unionida; Unionidae.